UGGUUGUUGGGUUAUCACUGCAAAAGUCUUUCUAAAAUUAUCUAAGAAAUAAUUAUAAUUACGUCACGUGACCGCAGACGGCGAGUGCUAUUUCGGGUAUGAAAAGUAUGGAAAGAAGUCACACGGUCUAAAUCCGGAGAAUAUGGUGGAUGGGAUAGCAGUUUGUAGCAUAUGGUCGAUCAACACUUUUUUCAUAGUCAAAAGGCGCUGUAAUUACUGUCCACUCGAAGUCGAGUCGGCAUCGUCGAUAGCUGUGUUCAUUUUUCUCUUCUAUAAGCAAUCGCUGUAGAUCGCACCUUGUGAAUCCCAUAUACAACGGUGGCCAUAUCAGCUUUCGGGCCGAUAGAAUACUCUUCGUCUUCUUAGGAACAUUUGAGCCGGGUAAAAUUCAAUAUUUCGACUAUGAAACUCGUUAAACUAAUUUUUGAAGGACGCUACACGAUAGCAAAUUUCUCUUACGUUAGUGGCGACAUCGGGUGGUACUUGUCAGGCCACCCUAGUAUAAAUUAAUCAAAUACCACGGACGAUUCUAUUCCUUUCACAAUUUGGCGAAACAACGAAUGAAUUUAGUAAGGUUUUAUAAUAUUUUGCCAACACUUGAAAAUAUGGUAUGUUAUACUACACCAACGUUCACAGAGAAAAGGUCCCCACAACUUUGAAAUCAUAUGUAUGAUGACGAAGUUAAUUCAAAUUGGCUGGUUGCCAUAAUUUUGUGUAGUCCUUGAAACAGCUUAAAUAUUAAUUAUAAAGAGCUAUAAACUGCGAAUGUACUUGUAAGCAAUUAAUAAUAAUUUGUGUCAAAGAUUCUAUGAAAUAAUUUUGCUUUUAAAAUAUAUUGUAUAUUAAUUUGAAAUAAGUAUAAGUACAUUUGUUUUUUUCACAACAAUCUAGCCUGAUGUCAUUUACAACGAAUGUCAUACAUAUGUAGAUAAGUCAAACCCGUUAUUAAAAUUAAAAUUGAUAAAUUCGCAGCAGAAACCCAUAUUUUAUAAAAAAAAAAUCAAGUUCGUUUCAGAAGUGAUAAGAAGUUAAAUUAAAAAAAAAAUCGCUUUCAAAAAUCUGAAACUGGGAUGAAGUGUACAGUUGGUAAUUGUGCGCAAAAAUAAAUGCUUAUGAGUGAUAUGAAUAAGGACCUGUUGCUCUAAUUGUUGUAAAAUGGAUGAUUUCGAAAAAGACAACCCAUUCAAAUUGGAUAAGAUUCAUGUGCAAGUCUAUGAAUAAUCAUUCAAAAUUAGGUUUUUUCGAUGGCUGAAGACUGACCUAACCCCUUAAGAUCAUUUCAUUGGAAGGAGCUGAAAAAUAUCCUUUUCUAUAACAAUAAAAAAGAGCACACUAAAGGCACCGCCUUUUGGAAUUCGAUAUGAGUCCGGAAACCUCUCCUCUCCGUGCCAUGUAAUAUGUGUCGUGAAAGUAAUAAAUUCGAUAUAUUUUGGCGUCUGUUAGAAAUCUAUUUUUGCUGCAGUCACAUACAUACAAUCUUAAUUACUUUAUCCGCUUUCAUUCUCGAACGCCUAGCUAAGCUAAUUUAAAAUUGAAUUCUGCACUAAAAAGCCAAUGAAAUGACAAAUUAUGGAAAUAUAAGAGGCUUCUGUAAUGUCUACACAAUUUUAAGCGAUUUUCAAUAUAAUCACUUCAUAAGUUCUUACUUUUCAA
Non-coding RNA from Bactrocera oleae (olive fruit fly), 1653 nucleotides. NCBI's taxonomy places the organism in Eukaryota, Metazoa, Arthropoda, Insecta, Diptera, Tephritidae. The record is from RefSeq and is a predicted model, not a curated record.